Molecule: ribosomal RNA, 253 nt
Filed under: uncultured bacterium
Lineage: Bacteria
Description: partial 16S ribosomal RNA
Rfam family: Bacterial small subunit ribosomal RNA
Source: RNAcentral
GACAGAGGGUGCAAACGUUGCUCGGAAUUACUGGGCGUAAAGCGCGUGUAGGUGGAUUGGUGUGUCAGAUGUGAAAUCCCUGGGCUCAACCCAGGAACUGCACCUGAAACUACCAGUCUUGAGUGGUGGAGAGGGAAGUGGAAUUCCUGGUGUAGAGGUGAAAUGCGCAGAUAUCAGGAAGAACACCCGUGGCGAAGGCGGCUCUCUGGGACGGUACUGACGCUGAGACGCGAAAGCGUGGGGAGCGAACAGG